Molecule: ribosomal RNA, 397 nt
Filed under: uncultured bacterium
Lineage: Bacteria
Description: partial 16S ribosomal RNA
Rfam family: Bacterial small subunit ribosomal RNA
Source: RNAcentral
AAUCUUGCGCAAUGUGCGAAAGCCUGACGCAGCCAUGCCGCGUGAAUGAUGAAGGUCUUAGGAUUGUAAAAUUCUUUCACCGGGGACGAUAAUGACGGUACCCGGAGAAGAAGCCCCGUCUCACUUCGUGCCAGCAGCCGCGGUAAUACGAAGGGGGCUAGCGAUGCUCGGAAUUACUGGGCGUAAAGGUCACGUAGGCGGGUCGUUAAGUCAGGGGUGAAAUCCCGGGGCACAACCUAGGAAUUGCCCUUGAUACUGGCGAUCUUGAGUAUAAGAGAGGUAUGGGGAACUCCGAGUGUAGAGGUGAAAUGCGUAGAUAUUCGGAAGAACACCAGUGGCGAAGGCGACAUACUGGCUCAUUACUGACGCUGAGGCGCGAAAGCGUGGGGAGCAAACA